AGAGUGCUGAGCCCCGUGCUGCCUCUCCCCCCGAAUAAAAUCCUGUUUAACUGAGCCCAGAGGAGUCCGCCUUUUGAUUAGCUGCCGUGGGUUGCAUACGCCAUCUGCUGGCCGUCGCUGAGAGGGGAACCAAGACCCACAGGGAGGAGGUGGCUCACCCGACUUGCCACCCCGACCUCACCCGUUGCCGCGGUGCAGGAGACUGAGCUAGCCCGUGGCCGCGCUCAUCAGCGCGAGGAACAGCACCGCGACAGCGGUUGGCGCCCAGUUCGUGGGGCCCCCACCCUCAGGACACGAGGCGGACCCCGCGGCACGGACUGAGGCUGCAAGAGCCUGAAGAAAAGUCCUUGGACGCCCCGCUACCCUUGGUCGAGCGGCUUCGUAAGAUCACGCUCCCAAGGGACGAAGAGGACAGCCUGAAGCGCCCAGCAGGUCCUCUUCAGGCAGCUAAUCUCGAGACCCCAGGCUUUAUCGCAUCCCAGGAGGGGCCAAUUUUAGUAACAUCAUCAAGGCAUGAACCUUAUCGGCUGCGGCUCACCGAAGCGCUCUAUCUGAGGACGGCGGAUUGGACCUUCCUUUCCAUAAACACCAAAGAACAAGGAGCCUGGCCAGUCCAAGGAAAGGAGCUUGUCAUCAUCGGGGACUGGUUUGAGCUACAGGAAGAAAAGGUUCAGCGGAUGCCGCCCUGGAAGUACCUCGGGCUCGAAAUCGGAAGGCGGACCAUUGUUCCCCAAAAAUUGGCAAUUCGAACAAAAGCCAAGCCAUGGUUGAGAGGACCCAUGGGACCAUCAAGCGUGUACUACAUCAGCAGCAGAGGGUCCUCAAGACAGAGUCACCAUCAGUCAGGCUGGCCAGAGCUUUGUUUACCAUUAAUUUCCUGAAUUGUUCUUACGAAGGUCUCAAUCCGCCCAUCGUCCGGCACUUCGGUGCCAGCUCGCUGUUUGGGGUCAAAGAACGACCGCAGGUCAUGGUCAGAGAUCCUGGGUCUGGAGGGACAGAAGGGCCACACGAUCUGGUCACGUGGGGACGUGGGUACGCCUGCGUGUCCACCCCCACGGGACCAAAAUGGAUUCCAGCUAAGUGGGUGAGGCCCUAUGUUCCCAAAAGCCCAGGGUCUGGCAAAAUCAACAGUCUGCAAGUCACCAUGGCAGCGUGGAGGCGGAAAAGGAAAACAUUGAACGAGGAGAGCUGAACAUCAGCUCCGGGCGGAGUCAUCCCUUUCCCUGCUGUGUCAAA
This is a long non-coding RNA of Hirundo rustica (Barn swallow), 1236 nucleotides long. RefSeq lists it as uncharacterized. The record is from RefSeq and is a predicted model, not a curated record. The transcript has 4 exons. Lineage: Eukaryota; Metazoa; Chordata; Aves; Passeriformes; Hirundinidae.